GUUUGUUUAACUAUGGCAAUAGGAAGUUAUAUAAUUUUAGCUGCAUAAAAUUGUUAUUUUUGGUUUGUAAAUAAGGUUUAAUUACAUGUUAUUAGCAGUUAGUUUUUCAUUUGAAUUUGCGUUUUCUAAGAAUAUUUUAUUAAAGGGGAUAGGUCACAGUGCCAGCAUCUGCGGUUAUUCUGUUUUCUUUGCUUUCAUGUGGACGAGUUGUGUUAGUUUAUCAGUUAGGUUAGGUGAAAUUUUCUUAUUUUUAUAUUGGACUUUCAUAUGUUAAUAAAUAUUUUUAGUGACAGGGAUUAGAUACCCCAUUAAUAUAAUAUUAUAUUUAGUCUUAGUUUUAUAACUAAAAUAGUUUGGCAGCAAGCUAUUCCGUUUGGGGGAAGGUGUGUUAUGAAGGACGAUCCGCCUAUUAAUUUACUUAGAUUAUGUUGGUGUAUAUCUGGUUUGAUAUUAUUGCUUUAGUAGCUUAAUUUGUGUAUAAUAAGUAUUUAAGCCAAGUCUAUGUGCUGCCUAUUUAAGUUUUCAUGCGUUACAUUUAUAAUAUAUGAUUUGUAAAAAUAUUAUAUUUAGGACUCAAUAGUAAUAUAAAUUGAAUUUGUUUAUGUGAAGGUUGGUUUAGCUUGGGUACACACCGCCCGUCACCCUCGAUUUUUGUUGAGGUAAGUCGUAACAAGGUAACUUUAAAUGAAUUUGAAGUUAAUUGCUUAUUAGC
RNAcentral lists this non-coding RNA (712 nucleotides) under Drepanidotaenia lanceolata. The record is from RNAcentral. Lineage: Eukaryota; Metazoa; Platyhelminthes; Cestoda; Cyclophyllidea; Hymenolepididae.